This 253-nucleotide ribosomal RNA is filed under the name uncultured bacterium. Its description in RNAcentral is "partial 16S ribosomal RNA". It matches the Rfam family "Bacterial small subunit ribosomal RNA", at positions 524 to 776 of the family's 1533-position model. The record is from RNAcentral.
UACAGAGGUCUCAACCGUUGUUCGGAUUCAUUGGGCGUAAAGGGUGCGUAGGCGGUCGCGUAAGUCAGGGGUGAAAUCUCAGGGCUCAACCCUGAAACUGCACUUGAUACUGCGUGGCUCGGGUACUGGAGAGGAGACUGGAAUUUACGGUGUAGCAGUGAAAUGCGUAGAUAUCGUAAGGAAGACCAGUGGCGAAGGCGAGUCUCUGGACAGUUACCGACGCUGAGGCACGAAGGUCAGGGGAGCAAACGGG